CAUUGAUUGGUGGCCAUGUGUUUGUGCCCGAUAGACUGUGAAAUGGUGUGUUGCUACACGGCUGUGUUGCACCUGCGCCCCACCGAGGUUUGAAGACCUGAAGGAGCAAGCAGUGUCAUUUCCGAAAUAAUUUUGGUAAUGCCGCCUUCCCUGAGCAGCCUAUGCUUGGUAGUUCCCUCCUGGGUAGCACUUCAUCAGAGACAGCAGAGACAAAAAAGAAAAGGAGUUCCAAUUUUUCUAUUUUCCUUUUACUUGUUAUCAUCACUCAAUGGCCAAAUAUUUCGUAAGAUUGGACUUUGAUGCUUAUGUCUAAAUAUUUCAGUA
Long non-coding RNA from Suricata suricatta (meerkat), 324 nucleotides. RefSeq lists it as uncharacterized. The record is from RefSeq and is a predicted model, not a curated record. NCBI's taxonomy places the organism in Eukaryota, Metazoa, Chordata, Mammalia, Carnivora, Herpestidae. The transcript has 3 exons.